This 407-nucleotide ribosomal RNA is filed under the name uncultured bacterium. Its description in RNAcentral is "bacterial SSU rRNA". It matches the Rfam family "Bacterial small subunit ribosomal RNA", at positions 355 to 774 of the family's 1533-position model. The record is from RNAcentral.
UGGGGAAUAUUGCACAAUGGGCGCAAGCCUGAUGCAGCAACGCCGCGUGAGGGACGACGGCCUUCGGGUUGUAAACCUCUUUUGGCAGGGAAGAAGCGAAAGUGACGGUACCUGCAGAAAAAGCACCGGCUAACUACGUGCCAGCAGCCGCGGUGAUACGUAGGGUGCAAGCGUUGUCCGGAAUUAUUGGGCGUAAAGAGCUCGUAGGCGGUUUGUCGCGUCUGCUGUGAAAACCCGAGGCUCAACCUCGGGCCUGCAGUGGGUACGGGCAAACUAGAGUGCGGUAGGGGAGAUUGGAAUUCCUGGUGUAGCGGUGGAAUGCGCAGAUAUCAGGAGGAACACCCAUGUCGAAGGCAGAUCUCUGGGCCGUAACUGACGCUGAGGAGCGAAAGCAUGGGGAGCGAACA